UGGCUCAGGAUAAANGCNGGCGGNGUGCCUAAUACAUGCAAGUCGAGCGAACAGAUAAGGAGCUUGNUCCUUUGAAGUUAACGGCGGACGGGUGAGUAACACGUGGGUAACCUACCUAUAAGACUGGGAUAACUUCGGGAAACCGGAGCUAAUACCGGAUAACAUUUAGAACCGCANGGUUUUAAAGUGAAANAUGGUUUUGCUAUCACUUAUAGAUGGACCCGCGCCGUAUUAGNUAGUUGGUAAGGUAACGGCUUACCAAGGCGACGAUACGUAGCCGACCUGAGAGGGUGAUCGGCCNCACUGGAACUGAGACACGGUCCAGACUCCUACGGGAGGCAGCAGUAGGGAAUCUUCCGCAAUGGGCGAAAGCCUGACGGAGCAACAGCCGCGUGAGUGAUGAAAGGGUUUCGGCUNGUAANACUNCUGUUAUUAGGGAAGAACAAAUGUGUAAGUAACUGUGCAC
This 466-nucleotide ribosomal RNA is filed under the name Staphylococcus xylosus. RNAcentral describes it as "partial 16S ribosomal RNA". It matches the Rfam family "Bacterial small subunit ribosomal RNA", at positions 20 to 473 of the family's 1533-position model. Lineage: Bacteria; Bacillati; Bacillota; Bacilli; Caryophanales; Staphylococcaceae. The record is from RNAcentral.